Molecule: non-coding RNA, 2202 nt
Organism: Sus scrofa (pig)
Lineage: Eukaryota; Metazoa; Chordata; Mammalia; Artiodactyla; Suidae
Source: RefSeq, a predicted model, not a curated record
CUGAACCCGCAACCUCAUGGUUCCUAGUCGGAUUCGUUAACCACUGUGCCACGACGGUAACUCCAGCUUUUUUUUUUUUUAAAUAAAAAUCUGUGUUGGUCCCAGUUCUGGCUGCCUUCAUGACUGCACUGCAGUGCACCACAAGGACAUGUGUAAGAAUGCUGAGAGCAGCGUUAUUUAUAAUUAAGCCUUAGCCAGAAACAAUCCAGUGUGCAAUGACAGUAGAAUGGGUCAGUUGUGGUUUACUCCUACAAUGGACUACUAUACAGCUAAGAACAUGAAUAUAGAUAGCAUUGUCAUUGAUAGCAACCUUGGCAAAUCUUAGAAACAUACUACUGCUUGAAAGAAGGCAGGUGAGAAAGAGUAUAUAAAAUGAUUCCAUUCAUAUAAAAUUCAUGAAUAUGCAAAAUAAAUCUAUGGCCUUAGAAGUCAGUGCAUUUAGAGAGGAAGCAGUUACUGGGAGGGGCCGUGGCUGGUGCACUUGGGGGUACUGGUAAUAUCCUCCUUAUUGAUACGAGUGAUGGCUCAGUGGCUUGAACUGUAUACUCAUGAUUUGUAUACUUGUUGUUAGGACAUUAUACCUUAGCGUCAAUGUUUGUUUAAAAAAAGAUUAUUGGGUAACUGUAAGAAUCCCUGGGAAGCCUGGAGAAUCAGACUUGCAGCUGAGCUCCUGGCAAUGAGGUUGGCAACUGCAGAAUUGAGGUGAUGAGGAAACUGCCCCCUCUGAGCACGAGAUGUAACAUGACCCCUCCUGCACCAGCAACUCCCUCUGGCUGCAGGGGCGCCGAUGCCCCACCACCAUUGCCUCUUCAACAAACGCAACUUUGUAGCCACUGCUGCCUCUGGGGAUCAUGGAUGUUGCUGGGUGUUUCCCUCCUCACCCUUCUUUUACUUCUAUUCUGAGAGCUCCCCCUGGCUGUGCUUGAUUUGCGGAGCGGGUGCUUAUUCCAGCUGCAAGGGAGGAUGGCAAAGUGAGAUGCUAACUUCUGUGUUGAGGUAGAAGCCAGGGACUCCGCAAACGUAAGAAGACUGCCAACAGGAGUGGAACGGCCACAAAGCAAGCAAGGGUCCACUGUGCUCAUGGUUCAAACCAAGGCCUUUUGGGGACAUCACCUUCUUCUCUAGUGGCCCUAAUGGUGUAUGGAUACUGUCUCUUGGUGUUCGGUUCUAUACUUGCCUUUUGAUACUUUUUCCUGUGCUACCACGUCUGAAGAACUCUGUUUUCCAGACUCUCUUGCAACUGGGUUCCUGUUCAGUUUUGCAAUGAAAGGCACCUGUGUGAGAUCAGAAGGUAGACGGUGUUUAUCCUCUGCCAGCAGCGCUGCGGCGCCCGGGCCCAGAGGCUCUGGGGAGUCAAUCCCGCAGUGGCUUGGCGCCUUGCUCUGCUGGGGAUACGAAGGUGGAAGAGACUUGGUCUCUGCCCUGAAGGAGCCCUAAUGGGAGGCCAGCAUGCCGUCCAGCGAUCCCAAUCCAGACUCAGAGAUGCAAAGAAGAGUAUAUCAUGAAUCCAUCAGGGAAGACCCGGGAGAAGGAUGGGACUAUCACUUCUUCUCUGGCUCAAAGAGAAUGUGACGAAGAGUCCCGCAUCGCCGGUCACCUGUUUUGACAGUCCCACCUGCACUGCCGGACCUCACCAGGAUAGAAGACGAAGCGUGUGGUUGUAUCGGAUCUGCGGCAGGAGACUGCAGCACGCCAGCGCAGCACAGGACUCUGGGUAGUGGUCAUGGGGCAGAGUGGAAAGAGCCGUGGAGUUGGAGGAAGCCGGAACCCGGGUCAGCCGCUUCCCAGCCGUGUGCCAAGGUCAGUAACUUAACCUCCCUGAGCCUCUUUUCCGAUUCACGACCCCCGGCUGCUGGGAGGGGAAGAGGUGAGGUGUAAAGCAUACGGGGGCUCCAGAAAUAUUGCUUCAUUUUUCUUGGAGGAAAGCCAGGUGCAAAUGAGGGCUUUAGGUGUAAGUGAGCUCACCUGUGUGUGUGUGUGUGCACGCGCAUGCGAAUACACGCUUGUUCUCUCAUACAGAAAACUGAACCCUGUCUCUUUAAGGAAUUGACAAACUUGCUUUUUAGGUAAACCUCAGGAUUAAGGUGGUUCUUCAUCUGGCAGGUUUUUAAAUUUAUUUAUUAUUUAUUUAUGCAUGCAUGCAUGUUUUUUAGGGCUGCACCUGAGUUCCCAGGCUAGGGGUUAAGUCGGAUCCCACGUUGC